Molecule: transfer RNA, 77 nt
Filed under: Caudoviricetes sp.
Lineage: Duplodnaviria; Heunggongvirae; Uroviricota; Caudoviricetes
Description: tRNA-Gln
Source: RNAcentral
GCGUCCAUGGUGUAACUGGUAAACACGCCGUCCUUUGAAGUCGGAUAGUCCUCGUUCAAGUCGAGGUGGACGUGCCA